Molecule: ribosomal RNA, 465 nt
Filed under: Vreelandella stevensii
Lineage: Bacteria; Pseudomonadati; Pseudomonadota; Gammaproteobacteria; Oceanospirillales; Halomonadaceae
Description: partial 16S ribosomal RNA
Rfam family: Bacterial small subunit ribosomal RNA
Source: RNAcentral
CCUACGGGGGGCAGCAGUGGGGAAUAUUGGACAAUGGGGGCAACCCUGAUCCAGCCAUGCCGCGUGUGUGAAGAAGGCCCUCGGGUUGUAAAGCACUUUCAGUGAGGAAGAACGCCUGGUGGUUAAUACCCAUCAGGAAAGACAUCACUCACAGAAGAAGCACCGGCUAACUCCGUGCCAGCAGCCGCGGUAAUACGGGGGGUGCGAGCGUUAAUCGGAAUUACUGGGCGUAAAGCGCGCGUAGGUGGCUUGAUAAGCCGGUUGUGAAAGCCCCGGGCUCAACCUGGGAACGGCAUCCGGAACUGUCAAGCUAGAGUGCAGGAGAGGAAGGUAGAAUUCCCGGUGUAGCGGUGAAAUGCGUAGAGAUCGGGAGGAAUACCAGUGGCGAAGGCGGCCUUCUGGACUGACACUGACACUGGGGUGCGAAAGCGUGGGUAGCAAACAGGAUUAGAUACCCCGGUAGUC